CCAAUAGCGUAUAUUAAAGUUGUUGCAGUUAAAAAGCUCGUAGUUGAAUUUUGGAUUCUACCAUUUGGUCCAUCUUUUAGAUGAGUACUGGAUGUGUGGGGUCUAUCCGCCUGAUAAUACGUAAUGUUCUUUAUUGAAUGUUACGGGUAGUCAGGACUUUUACCUUGAAAAAAUUAGAGUGUUUAAAGCAGGCUUAUGCCGGAAUACAUUAGCAUGGAAUAAUAGAAUAGGACGAAGUUGUUUUAUUUUGUUGGUUUUUAGGACAACCGUAAUGAUUAAUAGGGAUAGUUGGGGGCAUUAGUAUUCAAUUGUCAGAGGUGAAAUUCUUGGAUUUAUUGAAGACUAACUACUGCGAAAGCAUUUGCCAAGGAUGUUUUCAUUAAUCAAGAACGAAAGUUAGGGGAUCGAAGACGAUCAGAUACCGUCGUAGUCUUAACCAUAAACUAUGCCGACUAGGGAUCGGGCGAUGUUGUUUCCAUGACUCGCUCGGCACCUUAUG
This 499-nucleotide ribosomal RNA is filed under the name uncultured Glomeromycotina. RNAcentral describes it as "partial small subunit ribosomal RNA". It matches the Rfam family "Eukaryotic small subunit ribosomal RNA", at positions 591 to 1092 of the family's 1831-position model. Lineage: Eukaryota; Fungi; Glomeromycota. The record is from RNAcentral.